GCAGUAAAUUGUGAUGGCUAGACGACUGGGUCAGAGCAUCUCCAAACAUGCAGCCCUUGUGGGGUGUUCCUCGUCUGCAGUGGUCAGUACCUAAGUGGUCCAAAAAAGGAAAAGCGGUGACCUGGCAAGGCUAGUUGAGGUAACCUCGCCUAGACAGGUCAGGGCUGUUUGGCGGCAAAAGGGGGACCCACACAAUAUUAGGAAGCAGCGUUACUGCAUUCCCAGAUCUCAAUACAUAACUUGACUGACAGCUCGGGAAUCCUGAUGAGCUGUGCCCUCUAUGCAUUUGUCAACGCUGAGCACCACGCUGCCUGCAAACACAAUAACACUGCGCCACUACAGGCAUACACAGGGGGAAUUGGACAGAUGACCUUGCUCAGUGCUCAUACGGCGUAAACCUGAGCACAAUGAGAGAUCAGCUGGUUAUUCAGGUGUAAAAUGACCAACUGAC
Long non-coding RNA from Micropterus salmoides (largemouth bass), 451 nucleotides. RefSeq lists it as uncharacterized. The transcript is spliced from 3 exons. The record is from RefSeq and is a predicted model, not a curated record. NCBI's taxonomy places the organism in Eukaryota, Metazoa, Chordata, Actinopteri, Centrarchiformes, Centrarchidae.